RNAcentral lists this ribosomal RNA (505 nucleotides) under uncultured bacterium. Its description in RNAcentral is "partial 16S ribosomal RNA". It matches the Rfam family "Bacterial small subunit ribosomal RNA", at positions 29 to 523 of the family's 1533-position model. The record is from RNAcentral.
AGUGAACGCUGGCGGUAGGCCUAACACAUGCAAGUCGAACGGCAGCACAGGAGAGCUUGCUCUCUGGGUGGCGAGUGGCGGACGGGUGAGGAAUACAUCGGAAUCUACUUUUUCGUGGGGGAUAACGUAGGGAAACUUAAGCUAAUACCGCAUACGACCUACGGGUGAAAGCAGGGGACCUUCGGGCCUUGCGCGAUUGAAUGAGCCGAUGUCGGAUUAGCUAGUUGGCGGGGUAAAGGCCCACCAAGGCGACGAUCCGUAGCUGGUCUGAGAGGAUGAUCAGCCACACUGGAACUGAGACACGGUCCAGACUCCUACGGGAGGCAGCAGUGGGGAAUAUUGGACAAUGGGCGCAAGCCUGAUCCAGCCAUACCGCGUGGGUGAAGAAGGCCUUCGGGUUGUAAGCCCUUUUGUUGGGAAAGAAAUCCAGCUGGCUAAUACCCGGUUGGGAUGACGGUACCCAAAGAAUAAGCACCGGCUAACUUCGUGCCAGCCGCCGCAGUAA